This 1648-nucleotide long non-coding RNA is filed under the name Homo sapiens (human). RNAcentral's name for it is "HSALNT0282166". The record is from RNAcentral. Lineage: Eukaryota; Metazoa; Chordata; Mammalia; Primates; Hominidae.
GUCAAUAUUACAAGGGUGUUUGAGAGGGUGCUCAGGUGUUUAGACAUAGCCCACACAGCAAAUGCAGACUAAAGCAAAGUUGCUGUACAAAAAGUCAUUUCAAUAAUCCAUGGGCUAAAGGCUCAAGUGUAACCCUGAGCAAAAGGCUUCACGCUGGAGACUGAGUGAAUACCCUGCUUUGCUCCUUCUCUUCUCCCCAGUCACUGACUACCUCUGGCUCCCCCAUCUUGCCUGGCUGUGGACGUGAUGAAAGCGCUUGAAUUCUGGAGUCAGACAGAUAAUGCUUGGCAUACCCUAUGCUCAAAACGUAUUUGAUAAGUGGAGGAAUGGAUGAAUUGGUGAAGGUUGACUAGGGACAAGAGAAAAACAGGAGAAAGAAAAGUUAGAAGAAAGAAGCAAGAAGAACAGAAGGAACAGAGAAGACAAGAAGUUGGGAGCAAAGAAAAAUAAAGUCUAACCCUUAGGAACAAAUCCAGGACUGAGGACAAAGUUUGAAUUCUGGGGCUACCUGCUUGGGAGAGGCCACAGGAAUAACCAAGGGAUCAAGAACUUCAACCAAGCACUUCACAGAAAAAGCAGCAAACCAUGAGAUGAAGAAGGAGUAUGGUUGAAAGCUAACUUAGUCAAUAGAUCAGGGAUCCGAAUGGAAAGUGAGAAAUGGAGAGAAGACAACAUCCUCAAAUAAUGCACGCCUGCCUCUGUAAUCUUUGGGCCCAAUUAUUCAUGUUUCUAUUGGCCCAGGCAGGUCCCCAAAGUACCUGUGCCUUGCUGGAUACCUCAGGGAACUAGACAUUAAUUCUCAAUCCUACUUUAUGGGCAUUCUAUCUUCACGAUUUUGUCUCAUUCCUGCCUUUAGAUUCAUCACAAGAUUUUAUAGCAGUUGGACAAAUCUUCCCCAUUUCCAGACAAUUAUUGUCCAUAAUUUUCAACCAUUUAUUUUAAACAUAAAAGCAUUUUUUCCGUCCUCACUCCUGUUCAUGGCUGAGGUUAAAAAGGCAACUGUAAACUUUGUCUGAUAAAUUUUCCAUUCAUUCUCCUCCUUUCCUUCAAUAUGCCAAUCAGGCUGUCAGCUUGCUUUCUCUGCAGAUUCAUAACACUUCACCUUCAGUCUCAUUAACUGAUUUUCCUUUUGUUUCACAUGAAGAAAACUCAUCUCAACACUUAAAACCCUGGGAGUUACAAUUUAGAACUUCUUCGGCUGACUUGGAUUUUUAGCUCCCACUGAUUGUUCUUUAUUUUCUGCCUUUCAGAUAAAAAAAAAAAAAAUUCUUUUCCUUUUAACCACCUUUUGCUGACCUCAUCUUUAAAUACAGAAUAAGAUUUACGCUCAUAUUGUAGCUUUUAUGUGGGUCAACUUUUAUAAAUUUCAAAAUAUUGGCUCAUUUGGACUCUGGAUUUUGUGAAAAUUAGGAUGAAACCUGGGUUACAGUUUGCUUAGUUGUGCCCCUCCCCAUGAGGGUAAUAAUUGCCCUAAAAUAUUUUAUGUGCAAUAGAGAAUGUAAUCUGUAUUUUAGAGUACUAUUGAACCCGGGUUGCCCUAAAGUAGAAUUGUCAGCCAGAUAUGGUGGCUCAUGCCUGUAAUCCCAACACUUUAGGAGGCCAGUGUGGGAGGAUCACUUUAGCCCAGGAGUUUGAGACCAGUCUGGGC